This 332-nucleotide ribosomal RNA is filed under the name Nigrospora sphaerica. RNAcentral describes it as "eukaryotic LSU rRNA". The stretch from base 1 to 126 matches the Rfam family "5.8S ribosomal RNA", at positions 29 to 154 of the family's 154-position model. The record is from RNAcentral. Lineage: Eukaryota; Fungi; Ascomycota; Sordariomycetes; Amphisphaeriales; Apiosporaceae.
UGCAUCGAUGAAGAACGCAGCGAAAUGCGAUAAGUAAUGUGAAUUGCAGAAUUCAGUGAAUCAUCGAAUCUUUGAACGCACAUUGCGCCCAUUAGUAUUCUAGUGGGCAUGCCUGUUCGAGCGUCAUUUCAACCUCUAAGCACAGCUUACUGUUGGGAAUCUACGUCUGUAGUUCCUCAAAGACAUUGGCGGAGCGGCAGUAGUCCUCUGAGCGUAGUAAUUUUUUAUCUCGCUUCUGUUAGGCGCUGUCGUCCCGGCCGUUAAACCCUCAAUUUUUUCUGGUUGACCUCGGAUCAGGUAGGAAUACCCGCUGAACUUAAGCAUAUCAAUAA